Molecule: long non-coding RNA, 813 nt
Organism: Pipra filicauda (Wire-tailed manakin)
Lineage: Eukaryota; Metazoa; Chordata; Aves; Passeriformes; Pipridae
Exons: 2
Source: RefSeq, a predicted model, not a curated record
UGUGAUUCCAUGAUUCUGUGAGGCAGAGGAACAGUCUGGGUGGUUACACUGCAGCCAGGCACCCCAAGCUCUCCUGCAUGCUCCCCUUCCUAUGGGCAGCUCUGCCUCUGAUGAGAGCAACCACUGAUUAGUCCUGCCAGAAACCACACUUCCCUGGCUCAGGCACAGAAAAAAACAACAGAUAACACGAGAGAGAAAGUCAGAGAGAGGGAAGAAGGCAGGAGCAAGUGGUAAGUAUAUGGAAACCUUGCUGGUGUUUGCAGGCUCUCCCUGCUGGAGUCGAGUGUGUGCUUGUAAAUCCCACAGCAGAGGAAUACAAAUAUUUGUGCUGCGGAAACACUCCCAAUGAAGUCCUGGAGCUCUCCCUCUCAAUUCCUUUCAGCCUUUCAGAGGCCUGUUUGCUACUUGGUCUGUGGGAGAUGGCAGAGAUGCAGCUGCUUUUGCACGGGCAGAGAGUGACAGGACAAAGCAGAGAUUUAAAUCAGAUGGACUGCUGUUGCUGAUGUAUUAUUUAUAUAGCAGGAAAUUAGACUCUGAGGACUCAAGUAUUCUUCAAAUAAGCUUCCUAAUUCUGUCAAUUAAGAAUGCACAGGCUGCUGGGGCUCUAGCUUGGGAUGAGCUGCAGAGGAGUGAAAGCUGCCCCUGGUCAUUGCUCUGAUGUGCUGCUACAGAUACUUCAGCUGGAGGAAAAAUAUCUUAGUCCCAAAAUCAAACGUGUGAGAUGCUGGGAGGCUUAUAUAGAGCAGCUCUGGCUGAUUCCAGUGGGACAAAUAACUUCCCUGUGCUCUGACAGGGGAAUACUGAAAUGCUGAA